GUCCUUUUGAAUUUAAUUUAAGGUUUGACCUGCCCACUGAUUUAUAUUUGAAGGGCCGCAGUAAUUUGACUGUGCAAAGGUAGCAUAAUCAUUAGUUUUUUAAUUGAAAGCUUGUAUGAAGGGUUGGACGAGGUAAAUUCUGUCUCUAUUUAAUUUAAUAUAGAAUUUAAUUUUUAAGUUAAAAAGCUUAAAUUUAAUUAAAAGACGAGAAGACCCUAUAGAUCUUUAUAUAAUUUUAAUUAAAUUUAAUAAGGAUUUUUUUAUUUUUUAAUUGAAAUUAAUAUUUUAUUGGGGUAAUAAAAAGAUUUAAAUAAUUCUUUUUUUAUUUAUACAUUAAUAAAUGAAUCUAUGAUCCAAUAUUAUUGAUUAAAAGAUUAAGUUACCUUAGGGAUAACAGCGUAAUAUUUUUAGAGAGUUCAUAUCGAUAAAAAAGUUUGCGACCUCGAUGUUGGAUUAAAAAUUAUUUUAGGUGUAGGAGCUUGAAAUUUUGGUCUGUUCGACCAUUAAAUUUUU
RNAcentral lists this ribosomal RNA (513 nucleotides) under Ilybius bedeli. RNAcentral's name for it is "partial 16S ribosomal RNA". It matches the Rfam family "Bacterial large subunit ribosomal RNA", at positions 1819 to 2597 of the family's 2925-position model. Lineage: Eukaryota; Metazoa; Arthropoda; Insecta; Coleoptera; Dytiscidae. The record is from RNAcentral.